RNAcentral lists this ribosomal RNA (253 nucleotides) under uncultured bacterium. RNAcentral's name for it is "partial 16S ribosomal RNA". It matches the Rfam family "Bacterial small subunit ribosomal RNA", at positions 524 to 776 of the family's 1533-position model. The record is from RNAcentral.
UACGAAGGGGGCUAGCGUUGCUCGGAAUGACUGGGCGUAAAGGGCGCGUAGGCGGAUGUCUUUGUCGGGCGUGAAAUUCCAGGGCUUAACCUUGGGGCUGCGUUCGAGACGGGUUGUCUUGAGUGGGGAAGAGGGUCGUGGAAUUCCCAGUGUAGAGGUGAAAUUCGUAGAUAUUGGGAAGAACACCGGUGGCGAAGGCGGCGACCUGGUCCUUUACUGACGCUGAGGCGCGAAAGCGUGGGGAGCAAACAGG